Long non-coding RNA from Strigops habroptila (Kakapo), 697 nucleotides. RefSeq lists it as uncharacterized. Lineage: Eukaryota; Metazoa; Chordata; Aves; Psittaciformes; Psittacidae. The transcript is spliced from 4 exons. The record is from RefSeq and is a predicted model, not a curated record.
ACAGGCUUGGUACAUAAGCUGGAAGCCAGCAUAGAAACACUUCAUGGACUGAACCUUGAAAUCCAUUGUCUUCAUUGAUGUAAAAGAGGCUUUUUCUAAGACAGUAAACCUUGACUCCAGAUAUUCUUUGAAGAACACCACAAACAGCAACCUGAAAUUGAAAAAAAUAACACAGCCACUGCAACAUCAGGCAGCAACCACAGCUUCAAAAAUACUGCUGGAGUAAACCACCACUGUGUGCAGAGUAAUUUCCCAGUGCCUGCCUUCCACUGGAGAUUUCAACCAGGUGCCAGGAAUCAACAAUGCUUCAUGAAAAACAUGUGUGUGCUGGAGAUCAGCAACAGGACUUAAAGCUAUAAUCUCUUGCAACACAGUAACAAAGAGAAUCACAGAUUUGGAUAUCAAAUCCUAUGGAGAAUUCCCUCCUGCCCCUCUCCAAACCACAAUGAGUGUUCCAUGUCAGCUUUACUAACUUAUAUCUAGCAACAUUUAUCUGACCCAAGCACCAAAGAAGACUCUCUCCAAAGCAUCCAGUUCCAUCACAAGAUUAAUCCACGAGUCAGAUCCUCAUCUGCCAUUAUUCCGUAAUUUCAAAAGUGAGAGGUACAAGCCCUCAUUCCACACCUCCCAAGCUAAACUCAGUAUUUUAAGUGAUUUGAUUACUUUAGCUUUUUGCAGCUAAUGAUGUUUUCCACCA